Molecule: small nuclear RNA, 112 nt
Filed under: Panthera leo (lion)
Lineage: Eukaryota; Metazoa; Chordata; Mammalia; Carnivora; Felidae
Source: RNAcentral
GUGCGCAUUUUAGCAGCACAUAUGCUAAAAUUGAAAUAAUACAGAGAAGAUUAGUAUGGUUUCUGGGCAAGAAUGACACGUAAAAUGUAACCAGGGUUCUUUACAGAUUUUU